GGUCCUGUAACGCAAUGGUAGCGUGCCACUUUCCGGAGGUGGAAGUUCCAGGUUCGAGUCCUGGCUGGAUCG
RNAcentral lists this transfer RNA (72 nucleotides) under Hapsidospora chrysogenum ATCC 11550. RNAcentral describes it as "Acremonium chrysogenum ATCC 11550 tRNA". It matches the Rfam family "tRNA". From Rfam's summary of the family: Transfer RNA (tRNA) molecules are approximately 80 nucleotides in length. Their secondary structure includes four short double-helical elements and three loops (D, anti-codon, and T loops). The record is from Rfam by way of RNAcentral. Lineage: Eukaryota; Fungi; Ascomycota; Sordariomycetes; Hypocreales; Bionectriaceae.